AAAGCCCUUCCGGGGCCUGGCUUCCGUCCCUUUGCACUGCAGCUGGAUCGGAUUGAAGUGGCGGAUUCCUUCGUGCUGGCCCUGGAGCAGGCCCAGGUACCCCAGGAAUGCUCCCCUGAGGGGCUUGUGCAGUCAGAAGGAGGCGCCAGAGAGUGAGACUAACUGUGAGAGCCCCGGCAGGUGGACUGAUAAGGGCCGGUGUCUAUGGUGUGUCCAGCACGUUCUGGUUCCAACUCAGGAUCUGGGUAGAAUAUGCUCACGUCAUGUCCCGUGCUUUGGAAGUGUCGGGAUGCAAGUGAGGUUGGGAGGGGCUGUGUUUUGUUCUUUUGUUUUUGUUUUUGCGUUUCUUUUCUGAGCAUCAAGGUCAUGGGACAGCAUGUG
This 381-nucleotide long non-coding RNA is filed under the name Rattus norvegicus (Norway rat). RNAcentral describes it as "long non-coding RNA NONRATT015828". Lineage: Eukaryota; Metazoa; Chordata; Mammalia; Rodentia; Muridae. The record is from RNAcentral.